ACUACAUCCUCCUGGUGUUGUUCUAUUAAUUACUGUAACAUAUAGAGGAGUAUCAUGAAUUUUAGUGAAUUCCAUCCUGCUUCAUAUAAGCUUGGCUACACCAAAAACAUUUCCGAGGCCAAUCCAAGGCAGAAGAGGUAAUAAUAGAGAUAAAAUAAUAGAGAAAAUAAGUUACUUUUUUCAUCCUUGUCUUCUAAAGACUCCAGAUCCUGUCUUAUCUUUGAAAAGAAGCAGGGUCAGCCCUAGUUAGUACUUGGGCUAACUAGGAAACUGCCAAUAAAUGCCAGGUUAUUUAGCCUGUAUUUCAGGUAAAGGAACUGAAAUACAUCACUGAAGAUUCCUUGCCUAAGAAAACCCUAUGAAAUUCUUGAGGUCACUAUAAUUUAACAACCAACUUGAAGGCACACACAUACAUACAGUGAAUAAUUUUUUUUAUCAUGUCUGAAGUGAAUAGUCACUUCUGGUGUGAGAUAAUCGGCCAUCUACACAGAUGUUGCCCAGGGGACGCCCAGAUGUUUUACCAUCCUGUGGGAGGCUUCUGUCAUGUCCCCGCAUGGGAAGCUGGGGCUGACAGAUGGGAACUCACCCCUUCUCGUGGAUUUAAACUCAGGUCAGGAGUUCAGCCAACAGAAGAGUUUAACUCAUGUGCCACCACAGCUCCACAAUGGGUAAUGUCAGUGGGUUAUAUUUGAAAUGCUGUAAUGAAUAAUGGAAAAAACUAACUUUCUGAGAUGGAGCAAGCCCAGUGCACUUCCCAAAGCAUUCCCCAUUCCCUUAAUGCACCCUCCCACCAGCACAAUCCAGUUUUAUAAUCAUUGGAAAAUCAUUGAUUUUAAAUCAUUGGAUAAGGAAGGGAGGGCAAAAAAAUAUUAUGAUCAAUAGCAGGAUUUAGCCUCUUGGGAUGGACUUUUGUGAAAUCAAUGCCAGAAAUCACGGCAGUCCUAUAUGUAUGUACCUGGAAGAAAGUAAUAUAGAACAGAGUUGGGUUUGCUUCUGAGUAGGCAUGGCUAGAAUUGCAUUAAUAUCUAUGUAUUUAUCUGGCUGGCUAGCUGGCAGCUGCCUCCAUUGUUGCUGUUUCUUUGAAACCUGUUGCUGUCAGUGUCCUCACCAGGUACCAGAUUUUAACAUUUGUUCCUCAAAUUAUGUGGUAAUUACAGGUGAAACACACAGUCACUCCUUGUAUUAUGGUUUAUUUAACUAGGAGCUCGCAAAAAUAUUUUAUAGCACAACAUAAAGUAAUUCGGUAUGUGUAUCAUUUGAACACAGAUGAAACCUAGGAAAUAGUUGUAGAUGCUAAAUCUGCAGAUGCUUUAUAUGAAUUAUGGUAGUUUGCAAUUGUUCGGAAUCACCACCACCUUUGCAGUUAUUAGUUACUGUAAUGAAAAUGCAUAGCAAUUUGGUCUGUAAGUAUUCGUAAUUGUAAGAAUAUUAUGUAGAGCAUUUUCUUAUCCACAAUGUCCAAAGGCAAAGUAAUAAAAAUAGCAUUUUGAAACCAAGGUUGCUUUAAUAAAAACAGCACAAUUCCAAUAAAUUAGCACAGCCUGAACACUAUUUCUUCCUACAUAGUUGCAAGGAGAUGUAGAUUUGAUGCUGCUGUAACCUUUCUAUCCUUGAGCUAGAAAGCAUCAUGAGGAAAUUAAAAGCAGAGAUCAGUAAUGGGAGAACAUGGUGCUCCAUUUUGUAUAAUUGCACUGAUGCAGAGGAAUUAGAGCUUUUGGAACACUAUGUGAAAAAAAGCAUGACUGGACAUUCUUUAAAUGAUUCUCAUUUCUGGUAGCUUGAGUUUGUUUACUCCACAAACUAAAAGACCUUAACACUCAAACUGACCCUAACUUAAUAUGACUUAUGAAUGUCCCAGCAGCAGAUUUAGAAUUGAUUUAGUGUGACACCCAAAAUAAUAAUAUUCGGGGCAAAAUAGAAGAGGAAAAAGGUAAAAUAAAAUCCAUCCUUUCAUUUAAAACAUUUAUAAAUGUAGCUGAAUUAAAUUUAGCUACAGGGAAAAUCGGGAUUCAAACAGACCGUCUGAGUUGGUUAUGCUAAAAUGACAUGAGAACACCUAUUAGCUUGAGAAUUAGAAACUGGAUUUCUGUAAGAGGGUGUCAAUACAAUUCUAAUUUGUAAAAUUAGUACAGUGCUGAUGAUGAGUGGUAUGGGUCACUAGCAUUACUGAUGUAUGAGAGGUAGGGUCCUUGGUAUCUGCUGUGGGUUGGUUCCAGGAUCUCCUCUCAUGACUACCAAAAUUCACAGAUUCUUAAGUUCAUCAUCCUCAAUGAUGUAAUAAAAAGAUAUCCCUAUAUAAUAUGGCAACAAUCGUCUUGCUUUUCGGAUAUCCUCCUCCAUCUCUAUUCGCAUUACACAAGCAUAAUUACUUUCUGUGGGGAAAAGCAUCAUUACAUACAGCCACGUGUUCUUUCUCUUGUAGACCCAAUGAAUUUGUGAUAUACUGAAUGUUGUCUCUCUUGUACCAUUCAGUAACUCUUGUUUAAGCAUAAACAAAUUCUAACUUUAUUCACACACUAGCCUUCUUUAUUAUUUUGUUUUCAAAAAUGUAUCUCUUUCUGACUUAUAACCAAUUCCUUAUUUGCUUGCUUUUACAAUCUAGCUCAAUAUUUUUCUCUAUAACAUUCCUUUCUUUGAACUCAUUUGAGAACUGCUGGCCACAUUACACAGAAAACUAAAUAAAAGAGCAGUCCUUCUCCCUUAGGCAUAUCCCCCUUUUGGCCUUCUUACUUUUCAUCAAACAUAUUCAACAACAAAAAAGGAUAAUUCCAGAUGCUUCUAUUAUUGACUUGGGCUAGGAUGGAGCUGACUUGCAUGACUAUGCAUAAUUGUUUAACAGGCAAAACCUACCAUUGGCAUUAGUGGACCUUGGGAAAUUAUUUUUGCACAAUAACUCCUAGAAUCUCACUGGGUAUACUAGGAGUUGCAGUCAAAACAGCAUUUCCGAGCUGUGGACAGUGAAUGGUUGCCUCAAGUUUCAGAUGCUGUGAGACAAGAGCAAGGCGGCAGCAGAGACCUUGCUGUUGCCAUGCAGUUUGACCUAAGCUCACCCUAAAUAGCCUACUGUGGAUCAGAUGUAGCAGAGGAUCCUAUCCCAUUGCCAGUGUCAAGUGUGAAAGCAGGCAUGCUGGAUAAUGUGUAGCAUGCUUAAUGCUAGGAUUAAAACCCGUUAAUAUUCAGCUUGUUUUAGAAGCAAGACAAAAUGGCUUUCACUCUGGAAAUGCGGCUUCAAUCAGUUAGGGAUAGAGAACAAGUAUAACAUAACCUGUAUUAUGGUAGACAACAGAAAUUGAUACAACAGAAUUUCACUGUGGGUUUCACUGAUUUUAGAAGAGAAUAUAAUGGGAUAGUAAUCUCCACAUUCCACAUUGAUGGGGGAUACAUUAAGGUAGCCUUUCUAAAACCUGGAGCCCUUCCAAUGAAUAGGAGUUCCCAUCAUCUUCAGCCAGCUCUGUGUAGCCCGUCACGCGUGGAGGGUGCUCUGUUGAGGUAGGGUGCACCAAGGGCAUCUGUAGCUUGGAGUACUUUUCAUAAAUGUAAGUCUAUGUGAUGCCUCAUGGGCCUUGUAGUCCUGUUCCUAGUACUAUUGUGGCAGAUGAAGAUGAAAACAUGGGGUUUUCGCCGGUUCAACAAGAGCUGGAGUCUCUUCACCUGCCGGAUGUUGACGUUUGCCCUCAAGAAUUCAGUAAACCAGGCCUUGGGCAGUACUCCCCUCCGUUUCCCAGGAAGGAAUCUUAUUCUAAAGACAGAGGAGUCAGAGAAGCUAAUCGGAGAAGUCUAAGAAUCGCUGCCAAACAAACAGGCUGAUUAGGCCUGCUUCCCUUGGGAAAAUCUAAGGAGUCUUGCAUCUGGACAGAGUUGGGUUUUGCUUCUUGUUCUCUAGGGAAAGAGAUUGUUGGAGGGAAAACGAGACCCAAUAUAGGGGUUUGGCGCGAGAGAUUCUUUGCGGAGUCAAUUGAUCAGCUUCAGGAGAGAGUUCGUGUGUGGACUUCGUAACCCCAGUUCCUUGCUUCCCGGAUCGAGUUUCAAGCCUUGCCUUGCUGUUAACCACGGAUCCUGCUCCAUGCUUCACGUUUUGCCUUGUCUCCAGUCACGGACCUAGCCAAGAAUCAAGUUUAUUUCCAGCCUUGUUGUCAAGCUUCAUUGGACUUUAAGACUCUGACAUUUCCCCACACUAUUGCUUGGCAAGAGUGUGUGUUUCGGUCAAGUGGAUUAAAACUUUGAACUCUAAUAUCAUUUAUUGGACAAUACAUUUUUGGACUAUAUUUGACCUCUUUUGAAAGGUCUGUUUCUGAACUAUAUUCUUCACUUGUUUUUAUUGAUUUUAUAUAUUUCUUUAAUAAAGAUAUUAGAUAGAGA
Long non-coding RNA from Anolis carolinensis (green anole), 4359 nucleotides. RefSeq lists it as uncharacterized. NCBI's taxonomy places the organism in Eukaryota, Metazoa, Chordata, Lepidosauria, Squamata, Anolidae. The transcript has 2 exons. The record is from RefSeq and is a predicted model, not a curated record.